GCCCUAGUAGCUCAGCGUUUUAGAGCGUU
RNAcentral lists this transfer RNA (29 nucleotides) under Trichogaster fasciata (banded gourami). Its description in RNAcentral is "partial tRNA-Thr". The record is from RNAcentral. Lineage: Eukaryota; Metazoa; Chordata; Actinopteri; Anabantiformes; Osphronemidae.